GAUGAACGCUAGCUACAGGCUUAACACAUGCAAGUCGAGGGGCAGCAUUGGCGUGGCUUGCCACGCCAGAUGGCGACCGGCGCACGGGUGAGUAACGCGUAUCCAACCUGCCCGUAACCGCGGAAUAGCCCGCCGAAAGGCGGAUUAAUGCCGCAUGCGCUCGCGCGAGGGCAUCAUUUCGCGAGCAAAGGUUUAUUCCGGUUGCGGAUGGGGAUGCGUCCGAUUAGGCAGCAGGCGGGGCAACGGCCCACCUGGCCAUCGAUCGGUAGGGGUUCUGAGAGGAAGGUCCCCCACAUUGGAACUGAGACACGGUCCAAACUCC
Molecule: ribosomal RNA, 322 nt
Filed under: uncultured Prevotella sp.
Lineage: Bacteria; Pseudomonadati; Bacteroidota; Bacteroidia; Bacteroidales; Prevotellaceae
Description: bacterial SSU rRNA
Rfam family: Bacterial small subunit ribosomal RNA
Source: RNAcentral